GGGGGAAUAUUGGGCAAUGGGCGCAAGCCUGACCCAGCGACGCCGCGUGAGGGAAGAAGGUUUUCGGAUUGUAAACCUCUGUCUUCAGGGACGAUAAUGACGGUACCUGAGGAGGAAGCCACGGCUAACUACGUGCCAGCAGCCGCGGUAAUACGUAGGUGGCAAGCGUUGUCCGGAAUUACUGGGUGUAAAGGGAGCGUAGGCGGGAUUGCAAGUUGAAUGUUAAAACUAUCGGCUCAACUGGUAGCUGCGUUCAAAACUGCAAUUCUUGAGUGAAGUAGAGGCAGGCGGAAUUCCUAGUGUAGCGGUGAAAUGCGUAGAUAUUAGGAGGAACACCAGUGGCGAAGGCGGCCUGCUGGGCUUUUACUGACGCUGAGGCUCGAAAGUGUGGGGAGCAAACAGGAUUAGAUACCCUGGUA
This 419-nucleotide ribosomal RNA is filed under the name uncultured Oscillospiraceae bacterium. RNAcentral describes it as "bacterial SSU rRNA". It matches the Rfam family "Bacterial small subunit ribosomal RNA", at positions 355 to 792 of the family's 1533-position model. Lineage: Bacteria; Bacillati; Bacillota; Clostridia; Eubacteriales; Oscillospiraceae. The record is from RNAcentral.